Molecule: ribosomal RNA, 253 nt
Filed under: uncultured bacterium
Lineage: Bacteria
Description: partial 16S ribosomal RNA
Rfam family: Bacterial small subunit ribosomal RNA
Source: RNAcentral
UACGUAGGGUGCAAGCGUUGUCCGGAAUUAUUGGGCGUAAAGAGCUCGUAGGCGGUUUGUCGCGUCUGCUGUGAAAACCCGAGGCUCAACCUCGGGCCUGCAGUGGGUACGGGCAGACUAGAGUGCGGUAGGGGAGAUUGGAAUUCCUGGUGUAGCGGUGGAAUGCGCAGAUAUCAGGAGGAACACCGAUGGCGAAGGCAGAUCUCUGGGCCGUAACUGACGCUGAGGAGCGAAAGCACGGGGAGCGAACAGG